Molecule: ribosomal RNA, 440 nt
Filed under: uncultured bacterium
Lineage: Bacteria
Description: partial 16S ribosomal RNA
Rfam family: Bacterial small subunit ribosomal RNA
Source: RNAcentral
CCUACGGGAGGCAGCAGUGGGGGAUAUUGCACAAUGGGGGAAACCCUGAUGCAGCGACGCCGCGUGGGUGAAGAAGCGCCUCGGCGCGUAAAGCCCUGUCAGCAGGGAAGAAAAUGACGGUACCUGAAGAAGAAGCCCCGGCUAACUACGUGCCAGCAGCCGCGGUAAUACGUAGGGGGCAAGCGUUAUCCGGAUUUACUGGGUGUAAAGGGGGCGCAGACGGCGAUGCAAGCCAGGAGUGAAAGCCCGGGGCCCAACCCCGGGACUGCUCUUGGAAAUGCGUGGCUAGAGUGCAGGAGGGGCAGGCGGAAUUCCUGGUGGAGCGGUGAAAUGCGUAGAUAUCAGGAGGAACACCGGUGGCGAAGGCGGCCUGCUGGACUGCAACUGACGUUGAGGCCCGAAAGCGUGGGGAGCAAACAGGAUUAGAUACCCCAGUAGUC